GGUAUUUUGACCGUGCAAAGGUAGCAUAAUCAUUAGUUUUUUAAUUGAAAGCUGGAAUGAAAGGUUGGAUGAGAAAAAAGCUGUCUCUAUUUAAUUUAUUUAGAAUUUUAUUUUUAAGUUAAAAAGCUUAAAUUUAGAUAAAAGACGAGAAGACCCUAUAGAGUUUUAUUAGUUUUUUUUAUAGAGUUAAUGGUAUUUUUUGUCUUUAUAGGAAAAAUUAAUUUAGUUGGGGUGAUUGAAAAAUUGAAUUAACUUUUUUUUUAUAUUUACAUUAAUAAAUGGCUAUUUGAUCCUUAAUUUAAGAUUAAAAGAUAAAAUUACCUUAGGGAUAACAGCGUAAUUUUUUUUGAGAGUUCAAAUCGAAAGAAAAGAUUGCGACCUCGAUGUUGGAUUAAAAUAAAAUUUUGGUGUAGAAGCUAAAA
RNAcentral lists this ribosomal RNA (422 nucleotides) under Laparocerus mendax. Its description in RNAcentral is "partial 16S ribosomal RNA". Lineage: Eukaryota; Metazoa; Arthropoda; Insecta; Coleoptera; Curculionidae. The record is from RNAcentral.